Molecule: long non-coding RNA, 245 nt
Organism: Xiphophorus hellerii (green swordtail)
Lineage: Eukaryota; Metazoa; Chordata; Actinopteri; Cyprinodontiformes; Poeciliidae
Exons: 2
Source: RefSeq, a predicted model, not a curated record
AUCCUUGCAGCUACUAUGAUCAGUGCAGCAACAGAUACUACGACCACCGUGGCACCAGUUACCAAUGUGACUGCAGCAGCAACAACCAUCAUACCUGCAGUGGCCAGUAUUUCUCGACAAGAAUGUGGCUCCUCAAAGCUCUGUGCAGCUGAACCCUCAAAGUGCGAUCCCUCUUCCACAACCUGCUAUUUCGUUUCUGCCAAGCAACAAAGUGGCCAAACGUACAACUUUGAGCUCUCAGGACA